This 253-nucleotide ribosomal RNA is filed under the name uncultured bacterium. Its description in RNAcentral is "partial 16S ribosomal RNA". It matches the Rfam family "Bacterial small subunit ribosomal RNA", at positions 524 to 776 of the family's 1533-position model. The record is from RNAcentral.
UACAGAGGGUGCAAGCGUUGUUCGGAAUUAUUGGGCGUAAAGGGCGCGUAGGCGGUGCGGUAAGUCUGUCGUGAAAUCUCUGGGCUCAACUCAGAGUCUGCUGCAGAAACUGCCGUGCUUGAGUGUGGGAGAGGUGAGUGGAAUUCCCGGUGUAGCGGUGAAAUGCGUAGAUAUCAGGAGGAACACCGGUGGUGUAAACGGCUUUCUGGACCAUAACUGACGCUGAGGCACGAAAGCGUGGGUAGCAAACAGG